AUGCAGCCCUACCGAAUGGCUGCCUUCGGCAUUCGACAAGCCAUGAAGCUGACAACUAAGUUCUAUGGCCCCUAUCGUAUCUGACAGAAAAUUGGCCAUGUAGCAUACAAGCUCCAACUUCCCCAGCACAUUGGCAUUCAUCCGGUCUUCCACAUCAGUCAGUUGAAAAACCACCUGGGCGCACAUGCUGUCCCGAGCAAAAAUCUUCCAUUAGUGGACAGUACAGGCAAGAUUAAAACAGAACCACUAGCGGUGUUGGAAACUCGCUCAUUACCACGCAAUGGCGUCCUGAUCACCCAAUGGUUGAUCGAUUGGGAAAAUCUCAAACCUGAAGAAGCGACGUGGGAGGAUGCCAACUUCAUCAAACAAACCUUCCCCGACUUCUUUGCCAGCACGCUCAAAAGUUGGUUCCCAGAGAAGUAUACUUGA
RNAcentral lists this ribosomal RNA (429 nucleotides) under Triticum aestivum (bread wheat). RNAcentral's name for it is "partial small subunit ribosomal RNA". The record is from RNAcentral. Lineage: Eukaryota; Viridiplantae; Streptophyta; Magnoliopsida; Poales; Poaceae.